CCCCAGACUCCUACGGGAGGCAGCAGUGGGGGAUAUUGCACAAUGGGGGAAACCCUGAUGCAGCGACGCCGCGUGGGUGAAGGAGCGUUUCGGCGCGUAAAGCCCUAUCGGCAGGGAAGAAGGAGGACGGUACCUGGCUAAGAAGCCCCGGCUAACUACGUGCCAGCAGCCGCGGUAAUACGUAGGGGGCAAGCGUUAUCCGGAUUUACUGGGGGUAAAGGGGGCGCAGACGGCAGCGCAAGCCAGGAGUGAAAGGCCGGGGCCCAACCCCGGGACUGCUCUUGGAACUGCGCGGCUGGAGUGCAGGAGGGGCAGGCGGAAUUCCUGGUGUAGCGGGGAAAUGCGUAGAUAUCAGGAGGAACACCGGUGGCGAAGGCGGCCUGCUGGACUGCGACUGACGUUGAGGCCCGAAAGCGUGGGGAGCAAACAGGAUUAGAUACCCCCGUAGAC
RNAcentral lists this ribosomal RNA (450 nucleotides) under uncultured bacterium. Its description in RNAcentral is "partial 16S ribosomal RNA". It matches the Rfam family "Bacterial small subunit ribosomal RNA", at positions 329 to 795 of the family's 1533-position model. The record is from RNAcentral.